This 274-nucleotide ribosomal RNA is filed under the name uncultured bacterium. Its description in RNAcentral is "partial 16S ribosomal RNA". It matches the Rfam family "Bacterial small subunit ribosomal RNA", at positions 523 to 796 of the family's 1533-position model. The record is from RNAcentral.
ACACGAACUGCGCGAACGUUAUUCGGAAUCAUUGGGCUUAAAGAGUUCGUAGGCGGCCUGAUAAGUUGGGUGUGAAAUCCCUCGGCUCAACCGAGGAACUGCGCUCAAUACUGUCAGGCUUGAGGGAGACAGAGGUGAGUGGAACUGAUGGUGGAGCGGUGAAAUGCGUUGAUAUCAUCAGGAACACCGGUGGCGAAAGCGGCUCACUGGGUCUCUUCUGACGCUGAGGAACGAAAGCUAGGGGAGCGAACGGGAUUAGAUACCCUAGUAGUCC